GCGCGUGUGGCGAAAUUGGUAGACGCACCAGAUUUAGGUUCUGGCGCCGCGAGGCGUGGGGGUUCAAGUCCCUCCACGCGCACCA
RNAcentral lists this transfer RNA (85 nucleotides) under Tritonibacter multivorans. RNAcentral's name for it is "Epibacterium multivorans tRNA_Leu_TAG". It matches the Rfam family "tRNA". Rfam says of the family: Transfer RNA (tRNA) molecules are approximately 80 nucleotides in length. The record is from RNAcentral. RNAcentral also lists the same sequence under 3 other names. Lineage: Bacteria; Pseudomonadati; Pseudomonadota; Alphaproteobacteria; Rhodobacterales; Paracoccaceae.